GACCCUGACUGGACUGGUGACUGUGCAGUUUACUGUCACCGGACCAGUGAACUAAUCACCCUUCCAUACAAUGCAGCCAUGCCAGUGUCCCUGAAGGUCCUUGAGCAUGAAAUCUUCACACUAACACCUAUCAAGGUUUUGGCACCAGGAUUCAGUUUUGCGCCCUUGGGACUCAUCAAUAUGUACAACUCGGGUGGUGCCAUUGAGGGGCUAAAAUAUGAAACUAAAGCUGGUGGCAAGUUAUCAGAGCUUGAUGUUGGAUAUGGAGGUGAAAGCAGCAGUUUAGGCG
Molecule: long non-coding RNA, 289 nt
Filed under: Durio zibethinus
Lineage: Eukaryota; Viridiplantae; Streptophyta; Magnoliopsida; Malvales; Malvaceae
Description: long non-coding RNA (DZIB_LNC001890)
Source: RNAcentral